AUUGAACGCUGGCGGCAUGCUUUACACAUGCAAGUCGAACGGCAGCGCGGGCUUCGUCCUGGCGGCGAGUGGCGAACGGGUGAGUAAUGCAUCGGAACGUGCCCAGUAGUGGGGGAUAGCCCGUCGAAAGCCGGAUUAAUACCGCAUACGACCUGAUGGUGAAAGCGGGGGACCGAAAGGCCUCGCGCUAUUGGAGCGGCCGAUGUCGGAUUAGCUAGUUGGUGGGGUAAAGGCUUACCAAGGCGACGAUCCGUAGCUGGUCUGAGAGGACGACCAGCCACACUGGGACUGAGACACGGACCAGACUCCUACGGGAGGCAGCAGUGGGGAAUUUUGGACAAUGGGGGCAACCCUGAUCCAGCCAUGCCGCGUGCGGGAAGAAGGCCUUCGGGUUGUAAACCGCUUUUGUUCGGGAAGAAAUCCUCUGGGCUAAUACCCCGGGGGGAUGACGGUACCGGAAGAAUAAGCACCGGCUAACUACGUG
This 484-nucleotide ribosomal RNA is filed under the name uncultured bacterium. Its description in RNAcentral is "partial 16S ribosomal RNA". It matches the Rfam family "Bacterial small subunit ribosomal RNA", at positions 29 to 507 of the family's 1533-position model. The record is from RNAcentral.